Molecule: long non-coding RNA, 425 nt
Filed under: Ananas comosus (pineapple)
Lineage: Eukaryota; Viridiplantae; Streptophyta; Magnoliopsida; Poales; Bromeliaceae
Description: long non-coding RNA (ACOM_LNC025565)
Source: RNAcentral
CCAAUUAUAUCUUAUAUAUAUAUAUAUAAUUAUCUGGAGUCUCACAUUCUUCCCCUUUUUAAGCCCUAACGUUCUCGUUGGGCUCAGACUCACCAAUAUUAGGUGAUGUGAGACUCAUCUUGCUAGCCUUAACUGACCUUGUGGGGGAGCAGCGUUCUACCCACAACAGUCAUCAGCAUAAUAGCCUAGCCAUCCUCACUAUAUAACCUGGCUCAGCCAAGACUUAUCUCACACUUCCAACUGAUAAUUUACUCUUAUAACAAUUGUGACAUGCCAACUUCCCAGAGUGUUGUUACCUAUCUUAGGACUACUCUAGUCCUAACAGCUUAACUCUCUUAACCUCUUAGACCUAUCCACGACCCAAAAUGCUAUAACUGAGUAAAGAAACUUACAACCAACAUGCAAUGUGAAAUUCGUCUCGCUAG